CAGCGGAGCAUGUGGUUCAAUUCGACGCAACGCGAAGAACCUUACCAAGGCUUGACAUCACCCGGAAAGCUUCAGAGAUGACCCUCGGUACAGGUGUGACGAGCGCAACCCCUGUUCUGUGUUGCCAGCGCCUGGGACGUCAAGUAUCAUGCCCCUUAUGUCUUGGCUGCAUACAUGGUCGGUACAUGAGCUGCGAUACCGCAAGGUGGAGCGUCUCAAAAAGCCGGUCUCAGUUCGGAUUGGGGUGCAACUCGACCCCAUGAAGUCGGAGUCGCUAGUAAUCGAGAUCAGCAUUGCUGCGGUGAAUACGUUCCCGGGCCUUGUACACACCGCCGUCACGUCACGAAAGUCGGUAACACCCGAAGCCGAUGGCCCAACCCUUGUGGAGGGAGUCGUCGAAGUGGGACUGGCGAUUGGGACGAAGUCGUACAAGGU
This 435-nucleotide ribosomal RNA is filed under the name uncultured actinomycete. RNAcentral describes it as "bacterial SSU rRNA". It matches the Rfam family "Bacterial small subunit ribosomal RNA", at positions 927 to 1497 of the family's 1533-position model. Lineage: Bacteria; Bacillati; Actinomycetota; Actinomycetes; Actinomycetales. The record is from RNAcentral.